This 837-nucleotide long non-coding RNA is filed under the name Moschus moschiferus (Siberian musk deer). RNAcentral describes it as "lncRNA (ENSMMSG00000010000.1)". The record is from RNAcentral. Lineage: Eukaryota; Metazoa; Chordata; Mammalia; Artiodactyla; Moschidae.
GGAGGAGAGCGAGGCGCGCACAGGGUUAAGCUAGCUCCCUCCCCGGCAGGAGGGAGAGGCGGCGGAGGGGGAAGGCGGCUUUCAGCCUCAGGCUGGGUACCUGAGAGUUAGUUGUACGUUAGAAACCCCGCCGUCGCCUGCGAGUGUGGCAUCUUCCAGGCUCACCGCGGAGGAACCGGGGGGCUCGGAGAGCAUCCCAGCGGCGGCGCGGUCCCUACCCCGGGGGGUCUCUGGCCUGCGGUCCCGCGCGUCCAGGAGUCCAGACGCGCCAGCUCCGCGCCCGCCGCUGCGUCCACCCAGCCCGGGGAUCGGGUUGGUAGUUCUCAACGAUGGGCAGGAGGGACCUUGGCGGCGACCCCUAAAAUAAUACCAUGCCCCGGGAGCCCCGCUGCUGUGGAGCCAGCUCCUUCCCUUCCCACCUCCCCGACCCUGUCGGAUUCGGAUGAGCGCAGUGCGAGGAGCUGCGGCCGCCAGAUUGCAGAUUGAGCUUUACCAAGAAGCUCGUGGGCUGAUCCACACUGACCUGCCUGACCACGCAAGAGGUUCUGCCGGCUUGGUUGGGCCCCUCUUGGCCGUGGAUAACUUGGCUUCACUUGUUGCCUGGGUGGAAAAUUCUUCCUAUUGAAAUAUUUUUGCACAUGGAGGGCAACAGCAAAGAGGCCAACACAGGCUGAGCAGAUCAGAGACCUCAAGAAGAUUCUUUGACCUUGGCCUUCAGGACAUUUCUUCUAGUUGGAGUUCUGGACUUGAGAACCCUGUUCAAUUAUUUUGGUUUGGCUAUCUGUUUCUAUUUUUUAUUUCUAUUUUUUUACUUUUCUUUUCCCUACAGCAUCGUGU